RNAcentral lists this unclassified non-coding RNA (486 nucleotides) under uncultured Chaetomium. RNAcentral's name for it is "sequence contains ITS1, 5.8S rRNA gene, ITS2". The stretch from base 176 to 329 matches the Rfam family "5.8S ribosomal RNA". The record is from RNAcentral. Lineage: Eukaryota; Fungi; Ascomycota; Sordariomycetes; Sordariales; Chaetomiaceae.
CAGAGUUGCAAAACUCCCUAAACCAUUGUGAACGUUACCUAUACCGUUGCUUCGGCGGGCGGCCCCGGGGUUUACCCCCCGGGCGCCCCUGGGCCCCACCGCGGGCGCCCGCCGGAGGUCACCAAACUCUUGAUAAUUUAUGGCCUCUCUGAGUCUUCUGUACUGAAUAAGUCAAAACUUUCAACAACGGAUCUCUUGGUUCUGGCAUCGAUGAAGAACGCAGCGAAAUGCGAUAAGUAAUGUGAAUUGCAGAAUUCAGUGAAUCAUCGAAUCUUUGAACGCACAUUGCGCCCGCCAGUAUUCUGGCGGGCAUGCCUGUUCGAGCGUCAUUUCAACCAUCAAGCCCCCGGGCUUGUGUUGGGGACCUGCGGCUGCCGCAGGCCCUGAAAAGCAGUGGCGGGCUCGCUGUCGCACCGAGCGUAGUAGCAUACAUCUCGCUCUGGUCGCGCCGCGGGUUCCGGCCGUUAAACCACCUUUUAACCCAAG